Molecule: microRNA, 22 nt
Filed under: Echinops telfairi (small Madagascar hedgehog)
Lineage: Eukaryota; Metazoa; Chordata; Mammalia; Afrosoricida; Tenrecidae
Description: Ete-Mir-192-P4_3p* (star (passenger))
Source: RNAcentral
CUGCCAAUACCAUAGGUCACAG